UGGGUAACCUGCCUCAAAGAGGGGAAUAGCCUCCCGAAAGGGAGAUUAAUACCGCAUAAUAUGUUUAAGUCGCAUGACUUUAACAUCAAAGGAUUUUCUUUUAGAAAUUCCACUUUGAGAUGGACCCGCGGCGCAUUAGCUAGUUGGUGAGGUAACGGCUCACCAAGGCAACGAGUGCGUAGCCGACGUAGGAAGGAGGGUUGACUCGGCCACAUUGGAACUGAGACACGGUCCAGACUCCGUAGGGACGG
RNAcentral lists this ribosomal RNA (251 nucleotides) under uncultured bacterium. Its description in RNAcentral is "partial 16S ribosomal RNA". It matches the Rfam family "Bacterial small subunit ribosomal RNA", at positions 118 to 348 of the family's 1533-position model. The record is from RNAcentral.